Molecule: transfer RNA, 71 nt
Filed under: Marmota monax (woodchuck)
Lineage: Eukaryota; Metazoa; Chordata; Mammalia; Rodentia; Sciuridae
Description: tRNA.Thr
Rfam family: tRNA
About the family: Transfer RNA (tRNA) molecules are approximately 80 nucleotides in length.
Source: RNAcentral
GGGGUUGUAGCUCAGUGGUAGAGUGCUUGCCUUGUAGGCAUGAGGCCCUGGGUUCGAUCCUCAGCACCACA